AAUACUUAUGGAUAUUUAGCGUGACAGAUGUACAAGAAUCCGUGCUUUCUUAAAAAUUUCACGGACAUUUAUUAUAUUGGCUUUUAUCUAAUUAUUGUAACUGUUUAAUAUGCCCCAUAUUUGUCCGAGAUCGUGCAGCAGCUUAGCAACAGCUGCUGUCUUCGUCUCAGUUGGAGUCGUCCAAAUUUUUGCCGGUUUUAUUUUCUUGCAGUCUAAGUACGUUUACCUUCUAGCUGCUCCAGACAUUUGAACUGCCUUUUCUAAUUUCUCCUUCGGGGCUGCGCUUGGCAUAUCUUCACAGAUAUGGAAGAAUCUCAGAAAAGCUUCUGCAAAGCACAUGUUAAAAAGAAAUCUUCUGUCUGCCUUGAUGUUUUCAGCGAUUAUUAUAAAUACAACAACAAUUACUCUUCUGAUUCUGGGAGAGAACAAUGCUUUGCUGGCGAUUUAUCUUGACAUCAAUGGGAGAUACCACUCUGUGACUCUAGCAAGCGAACUUCAAGCAUAUGGUAAGUAAAUUACGGGAAAGAGUACAAUCAAGAAGUUUCGGAGGUUUAUGACAAAGCAUACAAGGGCUCUCUGCAUAAGGGAAGAGACAACAUCGUUAUGGUUUUUUACUCCGCCAUUAAGAGUAAGGAGCCUACAUGGCAUGGCAAAUCGUAUCCGCGUUUACGUAUGGAGAAAUCCACGAAAACGCCUAUGUAACCAGCCAGUUCGCUCCAAAACUCGAACCUCAGAAAAAACUACCAGUGUUAAGUGACUUUUACUGCUCCAUCUGCUGGUGGGCCUAGGACAAUACUUGCCAACAGUUUUCUACAGAAAGCUAUAUGCUGCAGGGUUGCUUAGUGGCCAUUAUUAAAAUAAAUAUAUUGUUCUUAUCGCUCAUAAAAGCGGUGUUGAUUUCAAAGUAACUAUUAACUCUAAAAUGUCUUUAAAGUCUCAAUGUUUUAUUUUGCUUCUUUUUUUAUUACUAGGAAUGUUUUGUUCAGAAAAAUCUUAUCGUAGUCGAAAGGAAAUUUUUAUUUCCAUCGGAAGUGUCAAGCUGGCGUAGAUAUCUGCCUAGAAAAUAAAUGUUUGGUACAUUUUAUUCUUAAGAUUAAAGGUGUGAGAUUUCUAAAUGAAAUUGGUUCUUAUUUAUAUUUCCCUUUUGUAGGCACUUUAUUUAGCCCACAAGUAGGGACACAGAAGAUCUAGAGAGACAUUGUUUGUCAGAGGGUUCAACAAGAAAGCAUUGUGAAAUACAUGGGCUAUAAGAACAUGCUUGGAAAAUUAGACUUCCUAAAUAAAUUUAAAACAAAUACUAAAUCAUUUACUUUCUGAUCAUUAAAACUUAAUUACCAUCAUGAAUUUUUUUUUAAGUUUGUAAAAAUCGUA
Molecule: long non-coding RNA, 1371 nt
Organism: Stegodyphus dumicola
Lineage: Eukaryota; Metazoa; Arthropoda; Arachnida; Araneae; Eresidae
Source: RefSeq, a predicted model, not a curated record